This 253-nucleotide ribosomal RNA is filed under the name uncultured bacterium. Its description in RNAcentral is "partial 16S ribosomal RNA". It matches the Rfam family "Bacterial small subunit ribosomal RNA", at positions 524 to 776 of the family's 1533-position model. The record is from RNAcentral.
UACGGAGGGUGCAAACGUUGCUCGGAAUUAUUGGGCGUAAAGCGCACGUAGGCGGUCCACCAAGUCGGAUGUGAAAGCCCUCGGCUUAACCGAGGAAGUGCACUCGAAACUGGCGGUCUUGAGUACGGGAGAGGGUCGCGGAAUUCCCGGUGGAGCGGUGAAAUGCGUUGAUAUCGGAAGGAACGCCGGUGGCGAAAGCGACACACUGGAUCUCUUCUGACGCUGAGGCGCGAAAGCCAGGGGAGCAAACGGG